UCAUCUUCGGGGGUAGAGCACUGUUUCGGCUAGGGGGUCAUCCCGACUUACCAACCCGAUGCAAACUACGAAUACCGAAGAAUGUUAUCACGGGAGACACACGGCGGGUGCUAACGUCCGUCGUGAAGAGGGAAACAACCCAGACCGCCAGCUAAGGUCCCAAAGUCAUGGUUAAGUGGGAAACGAUGUGGGAAGGCACAGACAGCCAGGAUGUUGGCUUAGAAGCAGCCAUCAUUUAAAGAAAGCGUAAUAGCUCACUGGUCGAGUCGGCCUGCGCGGAAGAUGUAACGGGGCUAAACCAUGCACCGAAGCUGCGGCAGCGACACUAUGUGUUGUUGGGUAGGGGAGCGUUCUGUAAGCCUGCGAAGGUGACCUGUGAGGGUUGCUGGAGGUAUCAGAAGUGCGAAUGCUGACAUAAGUAACGAUAAAGCGGGUGAAAAGCCCGCUCGCCGGAAGACCAAGGGUUCCUGUCCAACGUUAAUCGGGGCAGGGUGAGUCGACCCCUAAGGCGAGGCCGAAAGGCGUAGUCGAUGGGAAACAGGUUAAUAUUCCUGUACUUGGUGUUACUGCGAAGGGGGGACGGAGAAGGCUAUGUUAGCCGGGCGACGGUUGUCCCGGUUUAAGCAUGUAGGCUGGUUAUCCAGGCAAAUCCGGAUAAUCAAGGCUGAGGUGUGAUGACGAGGCACUACGGUGCUGAAGUAACAAAUGCCCUGCUUCCAGGAAAAGCCUCUAAGCAUCAGGUAACAUCAAAUCGUACCCCAAACCGACACAGGUGGUCAGGUAGAGAAUACCAAGGCGCUUGAGAGAACUCGGGUGAAGGAACUAGGCAAAAUGGUGCCGUAACUUCGGGAGAAGGCACGCUGGUGUGUAGGUGAAGCCCCUGCGGGUGGAGCUGAGACCAGUCGAAGAUACCAGCUGGCUGCAACUGUUUAUUAAAAACACAGCACUGUGCAAACACGAAAGUGGACGUAUACGGUGUGACGCCUGCCCGGUGCCGGAAGGUUAAUUGAUGGGGUUAUCCGUAAGGAGAAGCUCUUGAUCGAAGCCCCGGUAAACGGCGGCCGUAACUAUAACGGUCCUAAGGUAGCGAAAUUCCUUGUCGGGUAAGUUCCGACCUGCACGAAUGGCGUAAUGAUGGCCAGGCUGUCUCCACCCGAGACUCAGUGAAAUUGAACUCGCUGUGAAGAUGCAGUGUACCCGCGGCAAGACGGAAAGACCCCGUGAACCUUUACUAUAGCUUGACACUGAACAUUGAGCCUUGAUGUGUAGGAUAGGUGGGAGGCUUUGAAGCGUGGACGCCAGUCUGCGUGGAGCCAACCUUGAAAUACCACCCUUUAAUGUUUGAUGUUCUAACGUUGGCCCCUGACCGGGGUUGCGGACAGUGUCUGGUGGGUAGUUUGACUGGGGCGGUCUCCUCCCAAAGCGUAACGGAGGAGCACGAAGGUUAGCUAAUCCUGGUCGGACAUCAGGAGGUUAGUGCAAUGGCAUAAGCUAGCUUGACUGCGAGCGUGACGGCGCGAGCAGGUGCGAAAGCAGGUCAUAGUGAUCCGGUGGUUCUGAAUGGAAGGGCCAUCGCUCAACGGAUAAAAGGUACUCCGGGGAUAACAGGCUGAUACCGCCCAAGAGUUCAUAUCGACGGCGGUGUUUGGCACCUCGAUGUCGGCUCAUCACAUCCUGGGGCUGAAGUAGGUCCCAAGGGUAUGGCUGUUCGCCAUUUAAAGUGGUACGCGAGCUGGGUUUAGAACGUCGUGAGACAGUUCGGUCCCUAUCUGCCGUGGGCGCUGGAGAAUUGAGGGGGGCUGCUCCUAGUACGAGAGGACCGGAGUGGACGCAUCACUGGUGUUCGGGUUGUCAUGCCAAUGGCACUGCCCGGUAGCUAAAUGCGGAAGAGAUAAGUGCUGAAAGCAUCUAAGCACGAAACUUGCCCCGAGAUGAGUUCUCCCUGAGACUUUAAGUCUCCUGAAGGAACGUU
This 1972-nucleotide ribosomal RNA is filed under the name Klebsiella pneumoniae. RNAcentral describes it as "partial 23S ribosomal RNA". It matches the Rfam family "Bacterial large subunit ribosomal RNA", at positions 890 to 2839 of the family's 2925-position model. Lineage: Bacteria; Pseudomonadati; Pseudomonadota; Gammaproteobacteria; Enterobacterales; Enterobacteriaceae. The record is from RNAcentral.